This 443-nucleotide ribosomal RNA is filed under the name uncultured bacterium. Its description in RNAcentral is "bacterial SSU rRNA". It matches the Rfam family "Bacterial small subunit ribosomal RNA", at positions 67 to 488 of the family's 1533-position model. The record is from RNAcentral.
CGUGAAAGGGGCUUCGGCCCUGAGUAAAGUGGCGCACGGGUGAGUAACACGUGGAUAAUCUACCCGAUGGACCGGGAUAACACUUCGAAAGGGGUGCUAAUACCGGAUAACCCCACAGGCUCUUUGGAGCCUGCGGGAAAAGGUGGGGACCUUCGGGCCUACCGUCAUCGGAUGAGUCCGCGGCCCAUUAACUAGUUGGUGGGGUAAUGGCCUACCAAGGCAACGAUGGGUAGCUGGUCUGAAAGGAUGAUCAGCCACACUGGAACUGAAACACGGUCCAGACUCCUACGGGAGGCAGCAGUGGGGAAUUUUGCGCAAUGGGCGAAAGCCUGACGCAACAACGCCCCGUGAGUGAUGAAGGCCCUCGGGUCGUAAAGCUCUGUCCUAGGGGAAGAAACUUUUGGGGGAGAAUAUCCCUUGAAACUGACGGUACCCUCAAAGGA